Long non-coding RNA from Capsicum annuum, 912 nucleotides. RefSeq lists it as uncharacterized. Lineage: Eukaryota; Viridiplantae; Streptophyta; Magnoliopsida; Solanales; Solanaceae. The record is from RefSeq and is a predicted model, not a curated record. The transcript has 2 exons.
UGAGAAUACUAGUUUUACAAUUAAAUACUACUACUACCAUAUACUAUAUAUAUUAUAACUAGCUAGGGUAACUGUAGAGAUUUGUAUGUAUCCGUCUCAGUAAAGGAAACAGGAAAAUCAUAGUUGGAAAUUGGGACUAGUCACAUCUUUAACCAUAUUUUAAUUGGACUAAGAAGAAAAUGAAGGUUACCAAAAUAAAAUUUUCAGUAAUAAAAUAAAGAGUCAUAUACCGUGUGCUUGUGAUAGUUAUUAUUAUUAUUAUUAUUAUAGGAAGAUGCUGCAGCUGGAACAUGAGGCUUUGAAUACUGAAAUUGUCAUUGAUAAUACUUGUAUUAUCUCUUUUUCUAAAAUUUUGUAGGAAUAUGAAAAUGGGAAAAGAGCCCCUUUUUAUUGAGGUAUAUGAAGAUACGCAUAGGAAUAAAAACAAGGACGGUAUAAGAGGAGAUUGGGUCAAACCACGUGAUAAGAAUGCAUGUAAGAAUUUCAAAAAAACAUAUAAGAGUGGCGUCAAAUCCAACCUACUUCAGAGGAGGGUACCCUUGUCCAACCAUCACCUGCAGAGCACAAUAAUAUGUGGACAACUUUGGUAGGUGGUCCAAAUAAAGGUAGAACCUAGGGGACAAGGGAUCUCCAAUCCUCGUGUAGUCCUUCGUUGUUUCCUAGUUCCUCUUCUACUUUGUAAAGUGUGAAAGAAAUGAAAGCGAUGAAAAAGCAAAUUGUGGAUUUGAAGCAGCAAUGUGCAGCUAAUGAUGCUAAGUUUGCUAAGUUGGUUAAGAAGAACAUGCCGCAAGUAUUUCAAGACGAGGAAGAUAAUGAAUCUAAUGAUAAUUAGAUUGUAGUUAUUGUUUUUGUUUUUAUUUUUGGUUGUGACAUUUAAAUGUUUAAACUAUUUGAUUUGAUGUUUGUUUUGGA